UGUAAGCGUAUACCAAAGUUGUUGCAGUUAAAACGCUCGUAGUCGGAAUUUGGCAGUUCCGGAUGUGUGCACGUCGUGUGCGCACUUCGCGGGGAUUGCUUUUGUGGUCUUGCGUAGGAUGAGGCACUUUUAUUAGUGAACGUCCUCACGCAACCACUUUUUACUGUGAGAAAAUCAGAGUGCUCAAAGCAGGCAUUUGCCGUGAAUGUAUUAGCAUGGAAUAAUAGAAUAGGACUCGGUUCUAAUUUGUUAGUUUGUUGGGACUGAGUAAUGAUUAAGAGGGACAGCUGGGGGCAUUUGUAUUUCGGCGCUAGAGGUGAAAUUCUUAGAUUGCCGAAAGACAAACUGCUGCGAAAGCGUCUGCCAAGGAUGUUUUCAUUGA
RNAcentral lists this ribosomal RNA (382 nucleotides) under uncultured eukaryote. RNAcentral describes it as "partial 18S ribosomal RNA". It matches the Rfam family "Eukaryotic small subunit ribosomal RNA", at positions 592 to 976 of the family's 1831-position model. The record is from RNAcentral.